GUCGAGUCGGCCUGCGCGGAAGAUGUAACGGGGCUAAGUAGUAAACCGAAGCUGCGGCAAUAUACUUUUGUAUAUUGGGUAGGGGAGCGUUCUGUAAGCGGUUGAAGGUGUGUGGUAACGCAUGCUGGACGUAUCAGAAGUGCGAAUGCUGACAUGAGUAACGAUAAAGGGGGUGAAAAACCUCCUCGCCGGAAGACCAAGGGUUCCUGUCCAACGUUAAUCGGGGCAGGGUAAGUCGACCCCUAAGGCGAGGCCGAAAGGCGUAGUCGAUGGGAAACGGGUUAAUAUUCCCGUACUUCUUACAAUUGCGAUGGGGGGACGGAGAAGGCUAGGUGGGCCUGGCGACGGUUGUCCAGGUUCAAGUGCGUAGGCUUAAGAGUUAGGUAAAUCCGGCUCUUUUUAAGGCUGAGACACGACGUCGAGCACCUACGGGUGUGAAGUCAUUGAUGCCAUGCUUCCAGGAAAAGCCUCUAAGCUUCAGAUUGUAAGGAAUCGUACCCCAAACCGACACAGGUGGUCGGGUAGAGAAUACCAAGGCGCUUGAGAGAACUCGGGUGAAGGAACUAGGCAAAAUGGUACCGUAACUUCGGGAGAAGGUACGCUCUCGACGGUGAAGUCCCUCGCGGAUGGAGCUAUUGAGAGUCGCAGAUACCAGGUGGCUGCAACUGUUUAUUAAAAACACAGCACUGUGCAAAAUCGUAAGAUGACGUAUACGGUGUGACGCCUGCCCGGUGCCGGAAGGUUAAUUGAUGGGGUUAGACUUCGGUCGAAGCUCUUGAUCGAAGCCCCGGUAAACGGCGGCCGUAACUAUAACGGUCCUAAGGUAGCGAAAUUCCUUGUCGGGUAAGUUCCGACCUGCACGAAUGGCGUAAUGAUGGCCACGCUGUCUCCACCCGAGACUCAGUGAAAUUGAAAUCGCUGUGAAGAUGCAGUGUACCCGCGGCUAGACGGAAAGACCCCGUGAACCUUUACUACAGCUUGGCACUGAACAUUGACCCUACAUGUGUAGGAUAGGUGGGAGGCUUUGAAGCAAGUACGCCAGUAUUUGUGGAGC
This 1054-nucleotide ribosomal RNA is filed under the name Vibrio parahaemolyticus. RNAcentral describes it as "partial 23S ribosomal RNA". It matches the Rfam family "Bacterial large subunit ribosomal RNA", at positions 1148 to 2186 of the family's 2925-position model. The record is from RNAcentral. Lineage: Bacteria; Pseudomonadati; Pseudomonadota; Gammaproteobacteria; Vibrionales; Vibrionaceae.